CGGAGGAUGCAAGCGUUAGUCCGGAAUCAUUGGGUUUAAAGGGUCCGUAGGCGGUUUAAUAAGUCAGUGGUGAAAGCCCAUCGCUCAACGAUGGAACGGCCAUUGAUACUGUUAAACUUGAAUUAUUAGGAAGUAACUAGAAUAUGUAGUGUAGCGGUGAAAUGCUUAGAGAUUACAUGGAAUACCAAUUGCGAAGGCAGGUUACUACUAAUAUAUUGACGCUGAUGGACGAAAGCGUGGGGAGCGAACAGGAUUAGAUACCCUGGUAGUCCACGCCGUAAACGAUGGAUACUAGCUGUUCGGAGCAAUCUGAGUGGCUAAGCGAAAGUGAUAAGUAUCCCACCUGGGGAGUACGUUCGCAAGAAUG
This 367-nucleotide ribosomal RNA is filed under the name uncultured organism. RNAcentral's name for it is "bacterial SSU rRNA". It matches the Rfam family "Bacterial small subunit ribosomal RNA", at positions 526 to 896 of the family's 1533-position model. The record is from RNAcentral.